CCACCGCCACCGCCGCCUUCGGAAUUACUCGGAGCCGAGUCUUGGAGGCCGGAGGGCUCCCCUCGCUCCAAGUUUACGCCAACCCUGGAGAGUCGGGGCGCCGCUGGCCCGCGCUGCGCUAUGCAGGGGGUUGCCCCUCAUGGGAGCCGGGGACCUGGGUCUGGUUCUAAAACAGGAGGGGGCAUCUCCUUUCUCCCGGACUCUCUGAGGGAAACAGGGCAGGGCCGCACUGGAACUGGGGUACCCUCUGGGCUUCCGAGGUCCUGUCUAAGGCAUCGUGCACUAGUGACUUUGUGGUAGCAGAAGAACCCUGGCAGGCAGCAAAAGAGCUAUUUUUCCAAAAUCUUGCUGUCUUCAAAAUCCACCCCAUGAGGGGAUCUUAAAGGCAAAGGGCCCCAUGAACCAGGCUGGCAUUGAGUCCCUGACCCAGAAAAACCCAGCCAAGAACUCUUUCUUCAGUGGAAGGCUUCAGGGCAGCCAAGCUCUGCAGGAUGCCCUGGUCCACCCCAGGAGACAAACCUGCUUGUGGCUCCUCAGCGGACAAGACGAAAUCUCAUCUCACCAUUUUUGGCGAGGAGGGACCCAGUCGACUUUGGCAGUCAGUGGAGCUGAGGCCCUUCCUCUGCGCGCAGGGUUCGGGGUUUCGGUGAAGUGGGAGGGGGAGGGAAGAAUGUGGCGCUGGCCUUGGCCGCUGUGUGCACCCGCAGCUGCGCCAUGGCUAGAGAGGAGCUGGCACAGGCGCCGGCUAGUGGGGGCUCCCCAAACUGUGUUUUCGUUUUUUCCGGGUCUGGCUGGAAAACAGAAGAGGCUCAAAGCCCCAGCCAAAAGCAGGGCCGAGGCAGAGAAGAAGAGUCGGUAAACAUCGUCCCCCAAACUCCACAAAGGCAACAAAAAAUGCUGGGUAGCCAAACAGCCCCAGAAAUGAGAAUUCCAAAGGAAAAGGGAAUUAAGAGUGCGGGGAGGUUGCGGUGGGCCUUUGCAGCCACCUAGGUCUCCAGGCUUGCAUGGCAGUUCUCACACUGGCUAGACUGCAACUUUCAACUUGACCUUGGCCUCCAGCCAUGUCUGACCCGUAUGUAAAACUGCCUUCAAGUCCCCAGGAACUGGGGCCUCGAACCCUAUGCUGUCUCUUUGUCACUGUGAGUUUUACAAUGCCACUUGGGGGGAGGAAGGAGGGGCAAAAGGGCUGGAAAGUAACACAAAAAUCAAGUCCUUACAGAGCCCAGUUCCUUAGUCUGCAAAAUGGCCAGAGAGAAGGUAAACUGGGGGCAAAUCAAUAUU
This is a non-coding RNA of Microcebus murinus (gray mouse lemur), 1281 nucleotides long. The record is from RefSeq and is a predicted model, not a curated record. Lineage: Eukaryota; Metazoa; Chordata; Mammalia; Primates; Cheirogaleidae.